Molecule: small nucleolar RNA, 141 nt
Organism: Homo sapiens (human)
Lineage: Eukaryota; Metazoa; Chordata; Mammalia; Primates; Hominidae
Source: Ensembl
AUGCAUCUUAGAACAUCCAGGAGACAGUCUUCUAAAAUACCAGUGAGUGGCAAGAUAUGAGUAAAUUCCACAGGAAAAGGAAGGCAGUCCAAAGGGCUGUGCUUCUCCUGUGGCUCAGUGUUAUUCAUAGCUGUGACAUCU